Daphnia pulicaria is the source of this 1511-nucleotide long non-coding RNA. RefSeq lists it as uncharacterized. Lineage: Eukaryota; Metazoa; Arthropoda; Branchiopoda; Diplostraca; Daphniidae. The record is from RefSeq and is a predicted model, not a curated record. The transcript has 7 exons.
UUUUGUCAGACUGAAUAAAAAUCUCCUUACGAGUAAAAGAACAACACGGUUAAUGAGGAUUUGUUGUUUGUAAAUUGUUAGCUGCUGUAACCUCUGGUUUUAGUUCAUUUGUGUUUCUUGAUUUGAGGUUAAUCCCUCAAAGCUGUGUUGUGGACUGGUUUCUUACAGCACUAUUUAUUGCGUGCCUGAGAUCGCAAGUAGGCCGCCUACGUCAAUAAUCUAAAACACAGUGUGUUUAUGAAGUGGUCCUGGCACGGAGAUCCUUGAGCCAAUGCUGGCCUUUGUCCAUGAGAGAAGAGUGACUUUACGCCCUGUAACUACGGCCUGUAACUACCCAACAAGAGGUCGCUGGGCACUCGCAGUCAAGAGGAACUACGCAACCUUCCACGGCAGUUGCAGACCCCCCAAGAUCAAUCCUGGUCGUUCCUUGAGCCCGAUUAAAAGCAAGUCCCUGACUAUUAUAUGAUCUUCAAGGAUUGCAUGGUCUUUGGUUGAGACCCGGAUUGCAGAGAGACGUUUUCAAUGACUUGUGAAGUUUAUUAUCAACAUCGUCAAGAUUACCCCUUUAUUUAAUAUUGGAUAUUGGGACGAAUAUCAUCCGUCGUCUGCUUUAUUCUCUUUACUUUGUGGAUGAUGGAGAAACGGUCGUACACUCGUACGUUACUUAAACUGUUUAAAAUUAAAUUUAGAUUUCAACCUGCAGACGGGCCGGUCAGUUUGCAUCUCCUUCACGCUUGAAGGUCGAGGGAAACAUUGUGUAAAACUGUCAACGCGGUGGUGUAGAGGUUGGGUGAGAACUGGACGUGUUGCAUAAUUUUCAGCAGACCCAACCCCAGCAAGGGGGUUGGGUCUACCUAAAGAAGGAAAGGCCAGUUUGCAUUUCCUUCACUUUCGAAGGUCACGGAGAUCAUUACGUAAAACUGUCAAUGCGGUGGUGUAGAGGUUGGGUGAGGACGACACGUGUAACAUCAUUAUCAAGUAAGUAAAAUAGUCGCAAGGUAUAAGAUGUGGGUCAGGGUUAGAAAAAGUCGUAUAAAAGGAGAGAGAAAAGUCGACAAGGAUCAGUCGAACGAGUAUCUCCGACAUGGUAACAACUUCAGCGAACUAUUGGGCACCAGCUGCAUUCUUCAUCGUGUCAUUAGUUCGCAAUCAUAAUAAACUAUGGCGUUGUGCUGCUGCUGGGUGUUGAAUCGCUGACGGUUGGGUCGACCACUGGUGUACCGAUGUCUCCUGGUCCUGUGUAUGGUGGAUAUCAAAGCACAACAUUGCUGUCUUAAUACUCAUCAUCAACCAAUGCUGCUCCAGCUUACACCACCAAGGCUUCAGAGUAUUACUAGUUGCAUUAAAGGAGAGAAAUGGCUUUCCCGACACGACAACAACUUCCGCGCACAAUUUGUCACCAACUGCCUUCUUCAUCGUAUAAAGCGUAAACUGUGGCGUCGUGCUGCUGUUGGUUGCAGUCCUGAAAUACUACACCACCGAGGCUUCAGAGUAUUACACUGCAAUUUAUG